RNAcentral lists this ribosomal RNA (253 nucleotides) under uncultured bacterium. Its description in RNAcentral is "partial 16S ribosomal RNA". It matches the Rfam family "Bacterial small subunit ribosomal RNA", at positions 524 to 776 of the family's 1533-position model. The record is from RNAcentral.
UACAGAGGUGGCAAGCGUUGUUCGGAAUUAUUGGGCGUAAAGCGCGCGUAGGCGGCCGCUUAAGUCGGAUGUGAAAGCCCCUGGCUCAACUGGGGAAGUGCACCCGAAACUGAGUGGCUUGAGUACUAAAGAGGGUCGCGGAAUUCCCGGUGUAGAGGUGAAAUUCGUAGAUAUCGGGAGGAACACCGGUGGCGAAGGCGGCGACCUGGGUAGAUACUGACGCUGAGGCGCGAAAGCGUGGGGAGCAAACAGG